UGAUAUGUUCUUAGUUUUGUAUCAAGUUUGUAAUAUGUUAUAUAGACUACAAGAUUAUGUCUUUAUAUCACUAAAACAUCAAGUAGGUUGAACAUAGUGGUUGGUCAAAGUAGAUGAAACGAUCAUGAAAGCUGUUUUCUGGGUAACCCAGAAAACGCUUGAACACUGUCUCUGACAGGGUUUGACCAUUCCAGAUCUGGCGAUUGUAUUGUUGUUUGAUUAAUUUUAUAUGAUAGAUUUGUACCUUUACAUGUUGUCUACAAACUGGAACCCUUAGAUCACAAAAACAUUACACGAACAACAAGUUGUGGAACCCCAAAACUAGCCAGUCGAACUGUUCUUCAUUUCUGUGUAACCCAGAAAAUGAAGAACAGCUCUGACAUCUUGUUCUUGAGCUUAGAUCUUGCAUUUGGUACAUGAUAUGACCUUGUUUGUUGUGGGAUCUUGUAGUGUUACAUUAGUACUACAACAUCUAACCAUUAUCUUGUCCAGAAACAACUUAGUCAGUGAAUUAUGGCUGGUCAAACAUAGCAACCUGAAACUGUCUUAUGAAUGUUCUUGAGCCUCAAGAACACAAUAGGUGACACUUUCUGUUGCUAAAGGCUAUAACGACAGUUUUAUUAAUUUUAAUUAAUUAAAUUUCCAAAAAAAUCCUUUUAAAAUAAAAAUUAAUUUCUAAA
This 680-nucleotide long non-coding RNA is filed under the name Panax ginseng (ginseng). RNAcentral describes it as "long non-coding RNA (PGIN_LNC000481)". Lineage: Eukaryota; Viridiplantae; Streptophyta; Magnoliopsida; Apiales; Araliaceae. The record is from RNAcentral.